This 253-nucleotide ribosomal RNA is filed under the name uncultured bacterium. RNAcentral describes it as "partial 16S ribosomal RNA". It matches the Rfam family "Bacterial small subunit ribosomal RNA", at positions 524 to 776 of the family's 1533-position model. The record is from RNAcentral.
UACAGAGGUCCCGAGCGUUGUUCGGAUUCACUGGGCGUAAAGGGCGCGUAGGCGGUCACGCACGUCCGUUGUGAAAUCGCUCGGCUCAACUGGGCGGGGUCAGCGGAUACGGCGUGGCUGGAGCAAGCUAGGGGGCAAUGGAAUUCCCGGUGUAGUGGUGGAAUGCGUAGAUAUCGGGAGGAACACCAGUGGCGAAGGCGGUUGCCUGGAGCUUUGCUGACGCUGAUGCGCGAAAGCGUAGGGAGCGAUCCGG